GAGUUUGAUCUUGGCUCAGGAUGAACGCUAGCGGCAGGCUUAAUACAUGCAAGUCGAGGGGCAGCAUGGUUGUAGCAAUACAACUGAUGGCGACCGGCAAACGGGUGCGGAACACGUACACAACCUUCCUUCGAGCGGGGAAUAGCCCAGAGAAAUUUGGAUUAAUACCCCAUAGCAUAUUGAAGAGGCACCUCUUUAAUAUUAAAGAUUUAUCACUUGAAGAUGGGUGUGCGGC
Molecule: ribosomal RNA, 235 nt
Filed under: uncultured Sphingobacterium sp.
Lineage: Bacteria; Pseudomonadati; Bacteroidota; Sphingobacteriia; Sphingobacteriales; Sphingobacteriaceae
Description: partial 16S ribosomal RNA
Rfam family: Bacterial small subunit ribosomal RNA
Source: RNAcentral